GCAGUGCCCUACUCAAACAGGUGCCAGUCAUUUACGCUAUAUGUAACUGGGUCCUCUUUGGGUAGAGUAAGGCU
Non-coding RNA from Otolemur garnettii (small-eared galago), 74 nucleotides. The record is from Rfam. NCBI's taxonomy places the organism in Eukaryota, Metazoa, Chordata, Mammalia, Primates, Galagidae.